RNAcentral lists this ribosomal RNA (395 nucleotides) under uncultured bacterium. RNAcentral describes it as "bacterial SSU rRNA". It matches the Rfam family "Bacterial small subunit ribosomal RNA", at positions 362 to 774 of the family's 1533-position model. The record is from RNAcentral.
UAUUGGACAAUGGGCGCAAGCCUGAUCCAGCCAUGCCGCGUGAGUGAUGAAGGCCCUAGGGUUGUAAAGCUCUUUUGUGCGGGAAGAUAAUGACGGUACCGCAAGAAUAAGCCCCGGCUAACUUCGUGCCAGCAGCCGCGGUAAUACGAAGGGGGCUAGCGUUGCUCGGAAUCACUGGGCGUAAAGGGUGCGGAGGCGGGUCUUUAAGUCAGGGGUGAAAUCCUGGAGCUCAACUCCAGAACUGCCUUUGUGACUGCAAGGCUAGAGUGCGUCAGAGGGAGGUGGAAUUCCGCGUGUAGCAGUGAAAUGCGUAGAGAUGCGGAGGAACACCGAUGGCGAAGGCAGCCUCCUGGGAUGACACUGACGCUCAUGCACGAAAGCGUGGGGAGCAAACA